GUGCCCUCUUCAGAAUCACAUAUACUAAAAUUAGAAUGAGAAAGAGAAGAUUAGCAUGGCCCCUUCACAAGGAUGAUGCACAAAUUCAUGAAGCAUUCCAUAUUUUU
Molecule: small nuclear RNA, 107 nt
Organism: Rhinolophus ferrumequinum (greater horseshoe bat)
Lineage: Eukaryota; Metazoa; Chordata; Mammalia; Chiroptera; Rhinolophidae
Source: Ensembl